RNAcentral lists this long non-coding RNA (1070 nucleotides) under Canis lupus familiaris (dog). RNAcentral describes it as "lncRNA (ENSCAFG00845005200.1)". Lineage: Eukaryota; Metazoa; Chordata; Mammalia; Carnivora; Canidae. The record is from RNAcentral.
UUUUUUUUUUGGAUUACAUAAAAGUCACACUCCUUUUGCUCCCGUUAGAACUUUGAAUUUAGGCAGGGUAUUAAAAGACAACCCUCUAGCUUUCUCCACACCAGCGGGCUGUGGCCUUGUUUCAGGUUCUCUUCCCCAGAGCCACAACUCAGCCCUAUACUUCAGCACCACGGAAACACUAGCCUUUUAGCUCUGAAAAGAGAAAGGUGUCACAUCAGUAAUGGAGACUGAGCUUAAAGUGGGGGAGGAUCAGGCCUCUGUCAGAGAUCUCAUGAGGCUGGACCUGUGCCUGGGUCGCUGUGUUGCGCCGAAGCUUUUACUAUGUCCACUUCUAGAAUGUUUGGCUUCCUUCACCAAAACCAGAUCCUGGUGGGGAUCAUAAAACCUGUCCCGUCAAGUUCAAAAGAGAAUGCAGAUAAAUUGCACUUUGUAAACUAAAUCUUGACUCUCUAGCCAAUUAACUCUCUUUUAUGAUUCUUUCUAGAAACGACUGCAGCAGUAAAUGAGUCUUGUUAUGUGCUAGAUAGCCAGCAAAUGGGGAUUCAGACCCAGGUCAUCUUGAUUUUAAAAUGUGAGCUCUCCCAACUUCCCCCGCCCCCAGGAUGCCCAGCGGAGGCUGGGGAACACAAAAGGGAGAGGAAUUGCUUUGAAGUCUUUUAGUCAAAGAGGGCAGGGCUGGUGGGGGUGGGAUGGGGUGAAGCCCAGGGUUCCUGCCCUUGCUCUGCCUCCGACUUGCAGGGUAGCCCUAAACAGGGUGCUUUCUCUCCCCAGGCCUCGGUUUUCUUCUCCAUAAAACCAGGUGUUUGGAUCAGUGAAGCCCCUCUCCAGGUCAGGAUUCUGUAACCUAUAGACAUUCUCAGAGCCUUAGAGCUUAAGAAAAUAGGCUUAAAAAUUUACUUGGAAAAAAAUACAGAUCUUUUUAUCACUCAAAGAAUCAGAGGAAAAGGUUGCAAUAUUACAUCAUCUAUAAUAUGAUAACAUGUUAUUAUAUUUAAAUAAUAUAAAUAAAUAUAAUACGUCAUUUGUUGCCACUGGAACCAACGUAGGGGUUCAACUCGAUAAGGAAAGCA